Molecule: transfer RNA, 220 nt
Filed under: Pneumocystis jirovecii
Lineage: Eukaryota; Fungi; Ascomycota; Pneumocystomycetes; Pneumocystales; Pneumocystaceae
Description: tRNA-Pseudo(GTT)
Source: RNAcentral
AGAAUAAAAUAAUUGUUUUAAAUUAAUUAUAUUGUUAAAAUAUAAGUCAAGUUCCAACUAUUUUUUUAUUUAAAAAAUGAUAAUUUAAAUAUAUAAAUAUUAAAAAAUUCUAAAAAUUUAAAAGUUUAUUAAUUUGUGAUAAUUAAAUUAUAAUUUUUAAAUAAAAAAAACUAUUCAUUACUAAAUUUAAAAUUAAUAUUGAAAAAUAUAUUUUAUUCAU